Molecule: unclassified non-coding RNA, 285 nt
Filed under: plant metagenome
Description: partial contains small subunit ribosomal RNA, internal transcribed spacer 1, and 5.8S ribosomal RNA
Rfam family: Eukaryotic small subunit ribosomal RNA (bases 1-54)
Source: RNAcentral
GGGAGUAAAAGUCGUAACAAGGUUUCCGUAGGUGAACCUGCGGAAGGAUCAUUAUUGUAUAACCGAGGUGCGAGGGCUGUCGCUGACCCGAAAGGUCGUGCACGCCCGAGUGCCCUCACACACAUCCAUCUCACCCCUAUGUGCACCACCGCGUGGGUCCCCCUUUGGCUUGUUCGGAGGGGGGCUUACGUUUUCACACAAACUUUGUAUGCAGUGUAGAAUGUACUUUUUGUUUUUGCGAUCACGCAAUCAAUACAACUUUCAACAACGGAUCUCUUGGCUCUC